RNAcentral lists this ribosomal RNA (497 nucleotides) under uncultured bacterium. Its description in RNAcentral is "partial 16S ribosomal RNA". It matches the Rfam family "Bacterial small subunit ribosomal RNA", at positions 28 to 507 of the family's 1533-position model. The record is from RNAcentral.
GAUGAACGCUGGCGGCGUGCCUAAUACAUGCAAGUCGAGCGAACGGACGAGAAGCUUGCUUCUCUGAUGUUAGCGGCGGACGGGUGAGUAACACGUGGAUAACCUACCUAUAAGACUGGGAUAACUUCGGGAAACCGGAGCUAAUACCGGAUAAUAUUUUGAACCGCAUGGUUCAAGAGUGAAAGACGGUCUUGCUGUCACUUAUAGAUGGAUCCGCGCUGCAUUAGCUAGUUGGUAAGGUAACGGCUUACCAAGGCAACGAUGCAUAGCCGACCUGAGAGGGUGAUCGGCCACACUGGAACUGAGACACGGUCCAGACUCCUACGGGAGGCAGCAGUAGGGAAUCUUCCGCAAUGGGCGAAAGCCUGAUGGAGCAACGCCGCGUGAGUGAUGAAGGUCUUCGGAUCGUAAAACUCUGUUAUUAGGGAAGAACAUAUGUGUAAGUAACUGUGCACAUCUUGACGGUACCUAAUCAGAAAGCCACGGCUAACUACGUG